RNAcentral lists this unclassified non-coding RNA (203 nucleotides) under Hevea brasiliensis (rubber tree). Lineage: Eukaryota; Viridiplantae; Streptophyta; Magnoliopsida; Malpighiales; Euphorbiaceae. The record is from RNAcentral.
GGGAGAGCGUCGCCUGCGUAUCCACCAAUGGCUGCGCCUACGCCAGUCGGAACUAUCAUCACACUCGUAUACUGCCUUUUACAUCCAGCGGUGUAGCGUUUGAGAGCGGAGCAGGAGACGAUCGACUUCGGGGGCGAUGGCUGAGAUUUGGUCCGGAGGCCAUUCUGGCGAGGGAAUAUCGGGAGUGGAUAAGUGAGAUGAAG